UCCUACGGGAGGCAGCAGUGGGGAAUAUUGCACAAUGGGCGCAAGCCUGAUGCAGCCAUGCCGCGUGUAUGAAGAAGGCCUUCGGGUUGUAAAGUACUUUCAGCGAGGAGGAAGGCGAUAAGGUUAAUAACCUUGUCGAUUGACGUUACUCGCAGAAGAAGCACCGGCUAACUCCGUGCCAGCACCCGCGGUAAUA
Molecule: ribosomal RNA, 196 nt
Filed under: uncultured bacterium
Lineage: Bacteria
Description: partial 16S ribosomal RNA
Rfam family: Bacterial small subunit ribosomal RNA
Source: RNAcentral